CUGGUUCCCGCUCACGCCUCUCCCUCCACACCUCCCGGCAAGCUGAGGGAGUAGGCUCUGGCCUUGGCCAGCCCAGAAAGGGGCUCCCAUAGUGCAGCGGUGGGCUGAAGGGCUCCUCAAGUGCCGCCAAAGUGGGAGCCCAGGCAGAGGAGGCGCCGAGAGCGAGCGACGGCUGUGAGGACUGCCAGCACGCUGUCACCUCUCACAGGGUCUGUAGUGCUUUCCUGUUUCAUUCCUGACAUUGGAACUGUGAAGACUAGAGUGACCUUGGAGAUCUCAUCUGGAAGAUGGUAGAACUGCUAUCAGCCUGGCUUCCCAAAUGACCUCCUGGAUCACAGCUACCCAUGGCCUGAAAUGUUGACCUUGGAGUUGUUGCAUAGGAAAGAAAUAAACUUCUUUGUUCUUUGAGCCACAUAGUUAUCACAUAUCUUCUUAAAGCCACUUACCCACUUGUUCUAUCUCAUUCAGCUCUGAAAUUCUGUUUAAUUUCUAGAGUCAAAACAUUCAUUUGUUUCUUCUUUAUUUAACAAGAAUCAAUUACUUAUUUUAUGGAAGCCACUAUUCCAAAGAGAAGAAUCAUAAAAACAUUAGCCUUAUGGAUCUUUUGUCCUGGGAACAACACAGAGUGGAG
Molecule: long non-coding RNA, 631 nt
Filed under: Homo sapiens (human)
Lineage: Eukaryota; Metazoa; Chordata; Mammalia; Primates; Hominidae
Description: HSALNT0336738
Source: RNAcentral